Molecule: non-coding RNA, 3558 nt
Organism: Odocoileus virginianus texanus
Lineage: Eukaryota; Metazoa; Chordata; Mammalia; Artiodactyla; Cervidae
Source: RefSeq, a predicted model, not a curated record
AGGGAAGAGGGGUUGGGGUCUAAGCAGAGUGCUUUAGCUUGGUUUUAGAAGGCGCUCCCUUUCUCCCUCCCAGAGCGGUCAGUCCCCUGUGCCGUUUCCCAGUGGCCCUGCGCUCGAGGUGGGGCAGGGAGCGGCCAGGCCCGCGACCACUCCAGCAGCCCCUCCGCGGUGGACCCUGAGGUGUUGCCCGGCUGGGUCUGCAAGGCCACAGGUCGGGGAGCCUAACUAGUCACCCACUUUGCGAAACAGGUUUAGGGGCACUGGAGGAUUUAUUUUUUGUUUUACUUAACCGAAGUGUUUAACCACUCUCUGAACUCAAAGACUACACUUUUUCAACUGGACUCGGCUAUCUCUUCAAUUUACUCUUUCUCCCCUCAGGGAUUAUAUUAUGUAUGGCUGCCACAAAAAUGUCCAACUGUGGUAAACAUUUUGGGCCUGAGCAAUUAGAAAAGUGGCCAGAACCCGAGUCAGUCACGUUGAUGGAGGUAAAAUUAUAUGGCAUUUAGGGGCCGGCUUUUGGUGACGGGACAAAAAUCCCUUGAAAUUAAGAUUUAUUGUGUCUUAAUCACAGUUGUUUUCCCCAGAACUAGAACAGCGCCUGACAUAGACUUGGUGCUUAAGAAAUGCAUCCAAUGGGAAGGGCAGGGGGUGGGGGUCACAGUUGGCCCAGGGCGGUUGCCCUGUUCCCCGUGGUCAGGCGGGGUGAGGACUGCUACGGGGCGGCAGUGGGUAAACGCAGCAGUCCCCGAGCUGCCCUUCAGGAGAGCAGGGGAGGCCCAGCCUGGGCUCGUAGUUACUUCAUGAUGCUUCAGGAUCUGGCAUUAGCCAGAGAAGACAUUGAUGAAGCUGUAUAUGCAAUAUUAUUUAGAGAAAAUUGUAUUGCAAAGAGAUUGGAUGCGUAUUUUCAGCAUCUGGAUGCUUUUAAGGAAAGAAGAAAAGAGCUGUUGCAUAAAAAAUGGACUGAAAAUGUCGCAAAGCCUCUUCAGCAGAGAAUUAUGGAAAAAGUAAUUUCAUAUAAAGCGUUGGAGAAAACAAAGCAAGAGAAUUUUGAAUAUUUUUUAAAGCACACAAAUAAAAUGGAAAUUAUAUUUGGAGACUUUUAUGAUCCUGAAGUAUACAACCCUUUUUAUAUGACAAAAAAGGACCCAAAUUAUGGAAAGGUUGCGGUCCCACCAUUCUGUGAUCCUCUGUUUAGAAGACAGCAAGAGAUAGAUGAAGAGCAGAGAGCUAUUUUUCAGUACACAACAGGAAAACGAUGUACCUUAAAAAAAUUUAAAGAGCUACAGAAGGCCAGGCAGUAUGCCAGUCUGCCCCAGUUCACGUUCAGUCUCCACAACAUGGUUUCAAAGCAGAGGCCCAAAGAGUCUGUGAAGCCUGUGGGAAGCAAAACUCAUAGCAAAUGCAGUCCUGAAAAGCUUGUCUGUGCAGAAGGGAAAUUUCCACCUUAUAAAGUGAAAAUGACUAGUGACGUAAAUCCAACUGUUUUUGAAAGGCGGUUUUAUUCCUCGAAGAUCAGCCGGGAGAGUAAAAGGCAUGAGAAGGGCCUGGCUUUAGGAACUGGACAGCGCAGACCCCGCUCCUGGGCGGCAGGAGAAGGCCAGCAGAGGUGCAGUCAGCCUGUGGACAGAAGAGUGAUGACCGCAGAGGUCCUGGGGCAGCACCUGGCUGCCCUGCAGCUGGGAGACAGGUGAGGCGGCCGGGAACCGUGCCCCACAAGAGGCCAUUUGUAAUAAAUGGUUUGCAGGAUCUGCAGUUAAAAUGCUGCCAACAUUUCUUCUCUCCAGAAGUGGAAUACUGCAAGGAAUAUCCAACUAAUAACAGUUACAGUUUAUCGAGCUCUGGUUGUAAAUCAGGAACUGUGUACUUGGUAUGCAUUUAAAAGUUUUCCCAGCAAGGUAAUACCCAUCACGUGAAGUUCAGAGGUCCAGUAACUCACUCACGGUCAGCUGCACAGUUUGAAGGUGGCAGUGUUCUCUGGCCCAGGUCUAGUCCCUCAGGUGCCAAAGCACACACUUAUUCCCCAGGGUACACGCUCUCCUCGCAGCCACUUGGACUGUGUGAUGUCAAUCAGGCUGCUCAGAACCUGGUUCCCCUUUCAGAGGGCGCAGCUAUCCCACUCGUCUGCAGGGUACCAUGAUCCCAAAGGCCACAGGAAGGGCUUGCUGGGCACUCCUCCAGUGUGUGCCCAGUCCUUCCCCGGAAGUAUAGGUAAUCUCAGGGUGCCCCUCCCUUCCUUGCCUUUCAGAAAAUCAGGCUCCUUUUUAUCAGGCGAGAACGUGAUUUCUUAAGGAGCAGAGCUGUGUUUCUUGGUCAACAGGGGCGGCUGGAGUUGCUGGAAGUACUGACAUAAACUAUUCUUCUGUGAUGUCAUAGUCGUCUGACUCACCUCCUGCAGACUUCUGUGUCCUAAAUCUGACAAGAACAUGGCACCAGCCACAGUUCAUCACAGUGAUAAAAUCCCAUAGUCCCAGCUAUAGAAUUAUCCUAUAGCUGUGGUCACAGCUUUUACACCUGCCUGACCCAUCAGUGGCAGCCUUAAGAUUUAAAGUCGGCUGGAUAUCAACCCACACUUGCCUUCUGAUCCAACAUGGCUCAACUCCCAGAACCUGUAAAGAUCAGCAGUUUGCUUUGCUCAGUGUGGCUGAGCCUGACCCGCCCAGCUUUCCCUAAAUCUCCCACAACUGAGUCCCACAGUGUAACCCAGACCAUCAAUGGAGCUGAAUUAUUCUCCUUUUCAUCUGAUGUUCCAAAGGCACCUCAAUACCUCAACACACCUCAAGGUGAAGUCCUCAUCUUCUGUCAUAAAAGCAUCACCAUCUACCUCUACUUCUAUUGGACUUGGUGGCAUCGUUCUACACCCACCCACCUCCUCCCCACACACCAAGGAGUCACCACUGACGCCAGUCUGUCUUCUAAGCAGCUCUUGAUCUCCCCCACCUCUGGCUGCUCAUCGCUGGGCUUCAUCAAUGACAAUACUAUUUACUGAGCACCUAGCUGGGUCAGGCUGACCCUGUCCUACUGCUUUUUCUUCACUUGGCUAAUUCACACUCAUCUCUGAAGGCUCAGAUUAGCCUCCUCCACUCCAGGGUCUCCUCUCCCUUCCCGUGAUCCUUUUCAAGCCCCUAUGGCUUUCUUUAUCAUCAUGCCAUAUCUGGACUGAGUAACAAAGGUAGAGGUACCAUGUUUGAGUGUCUCUAUGACCUCCCAUUCAGACUGUAAACUCUAGGAGGCCAAGGACCACAUUUAUUUGAUUCUACACCUAGGAGUAGUACAGGAUCUAACAGAGUAGCUAGUACUCUAGGAUGAUCAUUUUUAACAACUGAAAAGUAACACAUUUACUAUAAUUUACCUAAUUAUUCCCCACUUUAAAAAACCGCCCCCUCCUUCUGUUUUUGGAUAUUCUAUGUUUCUAAGAUAAACAUCUUCAUGCUCUUUAUUUUGAUAUCUUCUGAGUGUUUUUUAAAAAGCAUCAUUUUAGAACACAGCUUGUUAGAUCUACUUUUCAUGUAAUCAACACCAUCCCUUUCAUUUAGAGACUAAACACUUUUUAUUUUUGCU